This 497-nucleotide ribosomal RNA is filed under the name uncultured bacterium. Its description in RNAcentral is "partial 16S ribosomal RNA". It matches the Rfam family "Bacterial small subunit ribosomal RNA", at positions 28 to 507 of the family's 1533-position model. The record is from RNAcentral.
GAUGAACGCUGGCGGCGUGCCUAAUACAUGCAAGUCGAACGAACAGAUGAGGAGCUUGCUCCUCUUACGUUAGCGGCGGACGGGUGAGUAACACGUGGAUAACCUACCUAUUAGACUGGGAUAACUUCUGGAAACCGUAGCUAAUACCGCAUAAUAUAGUUAACCGCAUGGUUCAAUAGUGAAAGACGCUUUUGCUUUCACUUAUGAAUGGAUUCGCGUCGCUUUAGUUAUUUGGGAAGUUAACGCCUUACCAAGGCAACGUUGCUAAGCCGCCCGGAGGGGGUGAUGGCCAACCCUGGAACUGAGACACGGUCAAGACUCCACCGGAAGGCAGCAGAAGGGAAUCUUGCGAAAUGGGCGAAAGCCUGACGGAGAAACGCCGGGUGAGUGAGGAAGGUCUUCGGAUCGUAAGACUCUGUUAAUAGGGAAGAACAAAUGUGGAAGUAAAAAUGCACGCCGUGACGGUACCUAAUCAGAAAGCCACGGCUAACUACGUG